GGCCUGGUGGUCUAGUGGUAUGAUUCUCGCUUAGGGUACACCCAAAAGCAUGUCGGCGAGAGGUCCCGGGUUCAAUUCCCGGCCAAGCCU
Molecule: transfer RNA, 90 nt
Filed under: Xylaria digitata
Lineage: Eukaryota; Fungi; Ascomycota; Sordariomycetes; Xylariales; Xylariaceae
Description: tRNA-Pro
Rfam family: tRNA
About the family: Transfer RNA (tRNA) molecules are approximately 80 nucleotides in length.
Source: RNAcentral